RNA transcript from Sander lucioperca (pikeperch), 1134 nucleotides. It is a transcript of the gene named nascent polypeptide-associated complex subunit alpha, muscle-specific form-like, with no coding region annotated. The record is from RefSeq and is a predicted model, not a curated record. NCBI's taxonomy places the organism in Eukaryota, Metazoa, Chordata, Actinopteri, Perciformes, Percidae. The transcript has 4 exons.
AAAGCUAAGGCUAAAAAAAAAUUAGAAAAAUUUGAUGAGAAGCGGGAGAGCUGGGUCCAUACCCACCAAAAAAAUCGGACCACCUCCCACAUAGUGGAUGAAGCUUCUAUGCUGCUUGAAAAAUUGCAGGCCCUGUGUGUAAGGGCUGUAAUAGUUUUGUCCAAGCCUGGAAGAAAAGAGAAUGCCUGGGUUUCGGAGGUUUUGGCACCCCGUUGCCAACUGACAGACACUUCUAAAAAGUGUCUUGAAAGAAUGAAGGCACUCUAUGAACUUGUUAUUCAAGGCUGGACCCCGCAAGUUGCUGCAGGACAUUCAUCAUCCCCAGUUGAACCCCCAACUACACCUCAACAGGCCCCACCAACAACACACGUUGCCGUUGCCCGGCCUCAUCCCCCUGCAGCUUCACCUACACCUCAACAGGCCCCACCAACAACACACGUUGCCGUUGCCCGGCCUCAUCCCCCUGCAGCUUCACCUACACCUCAACAGGCCCCACCAACAACACACGUUGCCGUUGCCCGGCCUCAUCCCCCUGCAGCUUCACCUACACCUCAACAGGCCCCACCAACAACACACGUUGCCGUUGCCCGGCCUCAUCACCCUGCAGCUUCACCUACACCUCAACAAGCCCCACCAACAACACACGUUGCCGUUGCCCGGCCUCAUCACCCUGCAGCUUCACCUAUACCCCCAAAGUCCUUGAUUUUACCAGUAGCCUCCACUGGAGCCUCCCAAGUUUGUCAAGGAAAAGGUGACAGUGUUGAAGGAGGCUGUCCAGCUCCCAGUAGAGUGGUGCCACGUAAAAGAAAAGGUCUGUUCAUUUACUGUGUGUGUAAAUCUAUACAUUUUGAAUUGAAAUUCAUUGUUGGAGUCCUCAUUAUUGCUGUAUUUCCAUUUGUAAGUGGUUGUGGCCUAUUAUGUUUUGGCGAUAUGUCCACAUUUAUUUAUUUAUUUUGUCAAGCUUGACAUUUAAAAUAAUCAAGCUAAAUUUAAUCUGUGGUCCCUUUCCCCAUUAACCACUGCCACUCCAUCAAUAAGAAAUGUCUUUUCCCCAAAAGCCGGGUAGUCAUCUGCCAUGAAAAUGUGUUCCACAACUCCCUGACACCAUAAUGACUUUUACUGAUUAGGAUUCAU